CACACGACUCUCGGCAACGGAUAUCUCGGCUCUCGCAUCGAUGAAGAACGUAGCGAAAUGCGAUACCUGGUGUGAAUUGCAGAAUCCCGCGAACCAUCGAGUCUUUGAACGCAAGUUGCGCCCGAGGCCACCUGGCCNAGGGCACGCCUGCCUGGGCGUCACGC
RNAcentral lists this ribosomal RNA (164 nucleotides) under Dupontia fisheri. RNAcentral's name for it is "5.8S ribosomal RNA". It matches the Rfam family "5.8S ribosomal RNA". Rfam says of the family: 5.8S ribosomal RNA (5.8S rRNA) is a component of the large subunit of the eukaryotic ribosome. It is transcribed by RNA polymerase I as part of the 45S precursor that also contains 18S and 28S rRNA. Lineage: Eukaryota; Viridiplantae; Streptophyta; Magnoliopsida; Poales; Poaceae. The record is from RNAcentral.